CCUUGUUCUCAGGGCGGGGUGAAAGUCCCCACCGGCGGUAAGGGUUUUUGCCCAAGCCCGCGAGCGCCCAACGGCAUGUUGCGCCUUAGGGUUAGCAGAUCCGGUGUGAUUCCGGGGCCGACGGUUACAGUCCGGAUGAAAGAGAAUGAGC
RNAcentral lists this non-coding RNA (151 nucleotides) under Rhizobium sp. RNAcentral's name for it is "FMN sequence". It matches the Rfam family "FMN riboswitch aptamer (RFN element)". From Rfam's summary of the family: The RFN element is a highly conserved domain that is found frequently in the 5'-untranslated regions of prokaryotic mRNAs that encode for flavin mononucleotide (FMN) biosynthesis and transport proteins. This element is a metabolite-dependent riboswitch that directly binds FMN in the absence of proteins. Lineage: Bacteria; Pseudomonadati; Pseudomonadota; Alphaproteobacteria; Hyphomicrobiales; Rhizobiaceae. The record is from RNAcentral.